AGCACCUCCUUCCCGCGGCUUCCUCCAGUAGUCCGCGGAGGGGCCGUCGGUAGCCAGGGCGGGUGAGUGGUGCUCUCAUCACCGGUGACAGCGCCUCCUCCUCGUGGCUUCGUUCGGCAGUCAGCAGAGGUGCCGUCGGUAACCGGGACGGGAGAGACCAAAGCCGUCCGCCAACACUGCCGUCUUGGAACCGGCGAAGAUAAGCAAUAAUGAAUCGCUGAACCUGUCCUCCGACGGAAAGCGAGCCCUAGUCUCGUCUGUGGGGUUACGUAACCGCUCUCGGC
This is a long non-coding RNA of Pollicipes pollicipes, 284 nucleotides long. RefSeq lists it as uncharacterized. The transcript has 3 exons. The record is from RefSeq and is a predicted model, not a curated record. NCBI's taxonomy places the organism in Eukaryota, Metazoa, Arthropoda, Thecostraca, Pollicipedomorpha, Pollicipedidae.